RNAcentral lists this ribosomal RNA (810 nucleotides) under uncultured bacterium. Its description in RNAcentral is "bacterial SSU rRNA". It matches the Rfam family "Bacterial small subunit ribosomal RNA", at positions 22 to 827 of the family's 1533-position model. The record is from RNAcentral.
GCUCAGAUUGAACGCUGGCGGCAUGCCUUACACAUGCAAGUCGAACGGCAGCGCGGGAGUAAUCCUGGCGGCGAGUGGCGAACGGGUGAGUAAUACAUCGGAACGUGCCAAAUCGUGGGGGAUAACGCAGCGAACGCUGUGCUAAUACCGCAUACGAUCUACGGAUGAACGCAGGGGACCGCAAGGCCUUGCGCGAAUGGAGUGGCCGAUGGCAGAUUAGGUAGUUGGUGGGGUAACGGCUCACCAAGCCAACGAUCUGUAGCUGGUCUGAGAGGACGACCAGCCACACUGGGACUGAGACACGGCCAAGACUCCUACGGGAGGCAGCAGUGGGGAAUUUUGGACAAUGGGCGCAAGCCUGAUCCAGCCAUGCCGCGUGCAGGAUGAAGGCCUUCGGGUUGUAACCUGCUUUUGUACGGAACGAACAGUCUCUUUCUAAUAACGAGGGAUCAUGACGGUACCGUAAGAAUAAGCACCGGCUAACUACGUGCCAGCAGCCGCGGUAAUACGUAGGGUGCAAGCGUUAAUCGGAAUUACUGGGCGUAACGCGUGCGCAGGCGGUGAUGUAAGACAGUUGUGAACUCCACGGGCUCAACCUGGGAACUGCAUCUGUGACUGCAUCGCUGGAGUGCGGCAGAGGGGGAUGGAAUUCCGCGUGUAGCAGUGAACUGCGUAGAUAUGCGGAGGAACACCGAUGGCGAAGGCAAUCCACUGGGCCUGCACUGACGCUCAUGCACGAACGCGUGGGGAGUAACCAGGAUUAGAUACCAUGGUAGUCCACGCCAUAACCGAUGUCAACUGGUUGUUGGG